This is a long non-coding RNA of Propithecus coquereli (Coquerel's sifaka), 661 nucleotides long. RefSeq lists it as uncharacterized. Lineage: Eukaryota; Metazoa; Chordata; Mammalia; Primates; Indriidae. The transcript is spliced from 2 exons. The record is from RefSeq and is a predicted model, not a curated record.
UUUAAAAUAUAGCUCCUGAAAUAUAUCAAAUACACUUAGGAAAAGUUCUACUUGGCACACCUCCUACAAAAGAUGUUAAUUAUUCAAGCUGCAUGAUUGAGGAUUUCAGAGUCACAGAUUCACCUGCAAUGUUUGGAAUACCAGUGGAGGUCUACAUCAACAAAGAAUUUAUACAGCAGCUGGUGUUAGUCAAAGCUAAUGAUGGAAUUUCAGUUUAAUAAAAAGACCCCCAACUGAGCAAACUAGCUUAAAAAAAGUAUACUUAUCAAACGGCUUUCAAUCAGUUCAAGAGAGACACCUUAAUUGGGAAGAGGAAGAAUUUCAGAGUAGUUUGUCAUCAUGCCAAUUCCAGAUCAAUAACUGCAUGUCUGCUCUUUGGUAGACAUAGCUUUUGCUUUAUAUUAAGUAAUCACAUCUAUACCCUCUCUAUUUUGGGUAAGGAGAUCUUUGUUUCAUUUGACAAUGUGCAAUGAUAUCCUCUUUCGAUUCACCUCUGUAUUUUCAUAAUAAACAUGAGUAAAAUUUGGACAUGUUAUUAUAAAUGUCAAUAUACUUUUAUUUUAAAAAUAGGUUUUCUAUUUCUUGUAAUAGGAAAGCAGUGCUUAUGAAAUUUUCAUAUUUUUAAAAGUUGUUGAAAUAAAAUUAUAUGAAUAAAAUUAAA